This 112-nucleotide small RNA is filed under the name Desulfofundulus australicus. Its description in RNAcentral is "Desulfotomaculum australicum Guanidine-I sequence". It matches the Rfam family "Guanidine-I riboswitch aptamer". From Rfam's summary of the family: This family represents a conserved RNA structure found upstream of the ykkC and yxkD genes in Bacillus subtilis and related genes in other bacteria. The function of this family is unclear although it has been suggested that it may function to switch on efflux pumps and detoxification systems in response to harmful environmental molecules. Nelson showed that this riboswitch senses and responds to guanidine and it was renamed Guanidine-I riboswitch. The record is from RNAcentral. Lineage: Bacteria; Bacillati; Bacillota; Clostridia; Eubacteriales; Peptococcaceae.
GGGAAGUGUACCUAGGGUUCCGCCCCGCCUGCGGGCGGGGGACUGGUCCGAGCGGUACAGGCUGCCGCGGGCUGGCGGCAGUUACACCGUGGGUAUAAAAGACCCGAGCGGA